GGACGUGAGGGCAAUCUGGUUGUGACAUCUGUCACCCCAUUGAUCACCAGGGUUGAUUCGGCUGAUCUGGCUGGCUAGGUGGGUGUCCCCUUCCUCCCUCACCGCUCCAUGUGCAUCCCUCCCAAGGCUGCACGCUCAGUGGAAGAGGACGGCCUUCCCCAAUAGAAGAAGGACUGCUCUUUGGUCGAGGGUAUAUGAGUAGCUGGGCUCCCCUGCUAGAAUCUCCAAACAAGCUCUCAAGUGGGAAAGUUUACACAGAGAAAUUGACAAACAUUGUAAAUCUGGGCUUAUUUUAAUAUUCCUUGAUGGUCUAAACUUAAGG
Molecule: small nuclear RNA, 322 nt
Filed under: Sorex araneus (European shrew)
Lineage: Eukaryota; Metazoa; Chordata; Mammalia; Eulipotyphla; Soricidae
Description: 7SK RNA (ENSSARG00000016383.1)
Rfam family: 7SK RNA
About the family: 7SK was discovered as an abundant small nuclear RNA in the mid-70s but a possible function has only recently been suggested.
Source: RNAcentral